CUACGGGCGGCUCCAGUGAGGAAUAUUGCACAAUGGGGGGAACCCUGAUGCAGCAACGCCGCGUGGAGGAUGACGCAUUUCGGUGUGUAAACUCCUUUUAUAUGUCAAGGAAAUGACGGUAGCAUAUGAAUAAGCACCGGCUAACUCCGUGCCAGCAGCCGCGGUAAUACGGAGGGUGCAAGCGUUACUCGGAAUCACUGGGCGUAAAGGACGCGUAGGCGGGUUGGAAAGUCAGGUGUGAAAUCCUACAGCUUAACUGUAGAACUGCACUUGAAACUUCUAAUCUAGAGUAUGGGAGGGGGAGAUGGAAUUAGUGGUGUAGGGGUAAAAUCCGUAGAUAUCACUAGGAAUACCUAAAGCGAAGGCGACCUCCUGGAACAUUACUGACGCUAAGGCGUGAAAGCGUGGGGAGCAAACAGGAUUAGAUACCCGGGUAGUC
RNAcentral lists this ribosomal RNA (439 nucleotides) under uncultured bacterium. RNAcentral's name for it is "partial 16S ribosomal RNA". It matches the Rfam family "Bacterial small subunit ribosomal RNA", at positions 339 to 795 of the family's 1533-position model. The record is from RNAcentral.